CCAAUGGCACUGCCCGGUAGCUAAAUGCGGAAGAGAUAAGUGCUGAAAGCAUCUAAGCACGAAACUUGCCCCGAGAUGAGUUCUCCCUGACUCCUUGAGAGUCCUGAAGGAACGUUGAAGACGACGACGUUGAUAGGCCGGGUGUGUAAGCGCAGCGAUGCGUUGAGCUAACCGGUACUAAUGAACCGUGAGGCUUAACCUUACAACGCCGAAGCUGUU
RNAcentral lists this ribosomal RNA (219 nucleotides) under Escherichia coli. RNAcentral's name for it is "partial 23S ribosomal RNA". It matches the Rfam family "Bacterial large subunit ribosomal RNA", at positions 2729 to 2925 of the family's 2925-position model. Lineage: Bacteria; Pseudomonadati; Pseudomonadota; Gammaproteobacteria; Enterobacterales; Enterobacteriaceae. The record is from RNAcentral.